CCUACGGGGGGCAGCAGUCGAGAAUCAUUCACAAUGGGGGAAACCCUGAUGGUGCGACGCCGCGUGGGGGAAUGAAGGUCUUCGGAUUGUAAACCCCUGUCAUGUGGGAGCAAAUUAAAAAGAUAGUACCACAAGAGGAAGAGACGGCUAACUCUGUGCCAGCAGCCGCGGUAAUACAGAGGUCUCAAGCGUUGUUCGGAAUCACUGGGCGUAAAGGGUGCGUAGGCUGUUUCGUAAGUCGUGUGUGAAAGGCGCGGGCUCAACCGGCGGACGGCACAUGAUACUGCGAGACUAGAGUAAUGGAGGGGGAACCGGAAUUCUCGGUGUAGCAGUGAAAUGCGUAGAUAUCGAGAGGAACACUCGUGGCGAAGGCGGGUUCCUGGACAUUAACUGACGCUGAGGCACGAAGGCCAGGGGAGCGAAAGGGAUUAGAUACCCCAGUAGUC
This 446-nucleotide ribosomal RNA is filed under the name uncultured bacterium. RNAcentral describes it as "partial 16S ribosomal RNA". It matches the Rfam family "Bacterial small subunit ribosomal RNA", at positions 338 to 795 of the family's 1533-position model. The record is from RNAcentral.